GACGAACGCUGGCGGCGUGCUUAACACAUGCAAGUCGAACGGAAAGGCCCUGCUCUUGUGGGGUGCUCGAGUGGCGAACGGGUGAGUAACACGUGAGUAACCUGCCCUUGACUUUGGGAUAACUUCAGGAAACUGGGGCUAAUACCGGAUAGGAGCUCCUGCUGCAUGGCGGGGGUUGGAAAGUUUCGGCGGUUGGGGAUGGACUCGCGGCUUAUCAGCUUGUUGGUGGGGUAGUGGCUUACCAAGGCUUUGACGGGUAGCCGGCCUGAGAGGGUGACCGGCCACAUUGGGACUGAGAUACGGCCCAGACUCCUACGGGAGGCAGCAGUGGGGAAUAUUGCACAAUGGGCGGAAGCCUGAUGCAGCAACGCCGCGUGCGGGAUGACGGCCUUCGGGUUGUAAACCGCUUUCGCCUGUGACGAAGCGUGAGUGACGGUAAUGGGUAAAGAAGCACCGGCUAACUACGUG
RNAcentral lists this ribosomal RNA (468 nucleotides) under uncultured bacterium. Its description in RNAcentral is "partial 16S ribosomal RNA". It matches the Rfam family "Bacterial small subunit ribosomal RNA", at positions 28 to 507 of the family's 1533-position model. The record is from RNAcentral.